CGGACGGGUGAGUAACGCGUGGGUAACCUGCUUGUACUGGGGGACAACAGUUAGAAAUGACUGCUAAUACCGCAUAAGCGCACAGUAUCGCAUGAUACAGUGUGAAAAACUCCGGUGGUACAAGAUGGACCCGCGUCUGAUUAGCUAGUUGGUAAGGUAAGGCUUACCAAGGCGACGAUCAGUAGCCGACCUGAGAGGGUGACCGGCCACAUUGGGACUGAGACACGGCCCAA
Molecule: ribosomal RNA, 233 nt
Filed under: uncultured bacterium
Lineage: Bacteria
Description: partial 16S ribosomal RNA
Rfam family: Bacterial small subunit ribosomal RNA
Source: RNAcentral